RNA transcript from Magnolia sinica, 1239 nucleotides. RefSeq lists it as uncharacterized. The record is from RefSeq and is a predicted model, not a curated record. The transcript is spliced from 6 exons. NCBI's taxonomy places the organism in Eukaryota, Viridiplantae, Streptophyta, Magnoliopsida, Magnoliales, Magnoliaceae.
CAUUCAUUAGGCUUUGGUUGGAGUAGGGAGGCAAACUGCCUUAGUGGGAAUUUAAAUCAUGCCAACUCUCUCUCUCUCAGAUGAAGCUCUGAGUUCUAACAUGGACUGGUUGGUCUUUACUUUGUUCUGCUUAUUCUAAUGUUCCGGAGAAUAAUUGACAUUUUUCUAAUGCUAUCUAUCUCUGAAUCAGGUCAAAGCAUCCAAAAUCUGUGUUGAUUAUGGACGAGGUUGAUGGUAUGUCUGCUAGUAUUAAGAUUUUCAAAACUCCUAUCAUUUGUAUCUGUAAUGACCGCUAUAGUUAGAAGCUAAAAAGUCUUGUUAACUACUAUUUGCUUCUCAACUUCAGGAAACCUACGAAACAACAGGUUCUUUGUUUGCUUGAUGUUGAUGCAGAAUAGCCUGUGAAGACUUUUCUAACCUCACUUUCAUCUUUUUCUACCUUUUUAGGCUUGCUUCUUAAAGGAGUCACCGAAGCAGUAGAAGAAGCAGAAGCAGCAGGUACUGUAUGUUUAUACAAUUUUCUCCAAGAAGAUAGUCAUGCAUGUGAUUUAGCAGUGGUAAGAACUUUUCUUUGGCUUACUUCACCAAUUUGCUACUGAGCCAUUGAAUUGCCUAUGGAUGCGUUGGUAACUUCGAAAUCUUUUGCCAAAGAAGAAGAAAAAGAAGGAGACAAGUUUUAUUCUUUUGUCAGAGAAGAAGAAGGUGACAAGUUUUAUUCUUUUGCCAAAGAAGAAGGUGACAAGUUUUAUUAUUUAUGGGUUUUGACCCGUCCACUUUCAUGCCUGAUUAAAGUUCUCCUCUGCCCUUUGAUUUUAUAGAUGCGGAUUGGCUUGUUACCCGAGGUUGUAUCGUGGUGAUCCAAUGCUAAAUCCUCUUACACCUUGGGAUAGACCUCCAUUGAAAAACAUUUUCUGUAUAUAUGGGAUAGAUAUGAAGACUGAGUUUGUGAGUGUUUAACUCCUGAUACUGUAAAUAAUAAGUAUCAUGGAUGUGAAGACUGGUGGAGGCAAGUUUUUUCAGCACAAGGCUUAUUGUGAAAAGCAUAGCUUGGAUCAGAAAAAGAAGGCUGAGAGUCUGCAACAUGGACCUGAUGAGGUCCGCCGCAUUAAGCAAAUCCGGGUCAUUGAGAAUGUACUAUAAUCCACAUCUUGUCUGUUUUCUCAUUCAUUAUUGGAUCCUCCUUUUGGGUUUCCUUUCCAGCACUUCCAACUCUCAAUUCUACUCCCUUUCCUUUCCCUA